Molecule: long non-coding RNA, 4953 nt
Organism: Peromyscus eremicus (cactus mouse)
Lineage: Eukaryota; Metazoa; Chordata; Mammalia; Rodentia; Cricetidae
Exons: 2
Source: RefSeq, a predicted model, not a curated record
UGGGUCAGUUGUCACAGGCAUGGGCUCCUAGAGAAAGAUGGAUAAAGGGUUCCCCUCCUCUCUAUUGGGCAUGCUGUCUUGUCAUUCUAUUUUCUGGCCUGGAAUAAAGCAGGAAGAAGGCCCUAACAACAUGAAGACCCCUUGACCUCGCGCUUCGUGACCUCCAGAACAGUAAGGGAUGAAUCUCUAGUCUAUGUAGAACCCGGUGGUCGGUAUUGGGUUACACCAGCAUGAAAUGGGAGAAGAUAAUGAGCAAAAGCUUCUGGGAACACUGAGCAUGUGAGCAGCCUUUUAUUUCAACUCAUUUGCGAAGCUGACUUAGAACAUAAAGUUGCACUGCUAUAAACUGCAAACUUCAGUCAUCUAUGGAUGCACCAGAGUCCAGCACAAACUUGAGAGGCUUAGAGCCCCAGCCCGUUGUGAUUGCUUAUGAGUAUAUGACUGACUGGGAGAGACACUUGUAACCAUGACUGGAUCAGGAAUCCUUGACUAUAUGUUGUCUACAUGGACCACCUGAUCAAAUGCAGAUCCCUGACACCUUCUGAGACCCAGUGAAUUCUCUUGGAUUGGAAACUAGAAUCUCACUAUUUCUUUUAAACAAGAAAGUGAUUGAUAAACAUUGACACCUGAGAAUAAGGAAAUUAAAGUUAUGAAGGAAAAUAAAUUACCCUGAAGGGUAAGGGGGUUGCUAUCUAGAUAGAAUGGAGAUGUGCUAAGCCAGAGACAUGGAAAGACAGGUCAUCAUGGCAAGGAGAAGUUAGAAUAAAUUUCGAGUACCAAGAAUGAACUUUAUAGUUCCAAAGAGGAAAAAGACCUUGCUGAAGACUAAUUUCCUGUCAAUUCCUUAUCACAGUCUAGUCCCCAUCUAUUGACAACAGCUAGUCACCGGGUACAGGUAGGAAUGCAGAUGGUUAGAGUCUGCAGUUUAGUAGCCAUCUGUCAGCAUGGCGCUCACACUGUGGAAACAGCAAGUAUAGCCUCGAGGAGAAUAAUAAGCUUUAGUUGUUGGUCUUGGUAAGAUGAGCUGAAACUGACUACAGAUUCCUGCUUAUCUUGAUCAAAAAAAGAAAAAAAUCUUUAUGUGUGCAGGCAGAGAAAACUGCUCAGAGUGAUGACCUCCUUCAUGUCUGUGAGUGAAUGUUGUGUUGGCUACUAGGGUGUGGCUCUGGGAGGUCUUUGUCUUAUUUUAACUGGGAGUUCUACAGCAUGUUUGCAUGCUAGAAACCGACAAAGUUGGAGUGGGACAGGCAGAGAAGCUGAGAAUAAAGAGUGGGCAGAAUCCAUUGUGCUAGGGAAGCAUCUGCUCCAGAUCAAAGUAUGGAGAGUUUAUCCUCUAUUAAUAAAGGCGAGUAAAGUUCAAGAAAUACAUAAAUGCUGGUGUCCAGAUAGGAAUCCAUUCCAUCUCGAAGCUGCUUCUCCAGUUUUUCCUAAGACCAUUUGUGUUCAAGAAAAAGGAAUUUUAUUAUUUCACUUCUCUCCUUUUUUUCUUUCCUCCUUCUCCUCUUGUGUACCAUGUGGUACUUUCUCUCUGAGCCAUUACUGCUAGAAGGUAUGGCCAGCAUAAAUAACACUCAAUCAUACUUAUAUGUAUAGGCUUACAUAGUCUUAUGUGGGAAAUGUUCUGAGGUCUAAAUGAAGAGACCCCUUCACAGCAGUAGAAACCCUAACUAAAACACACUACUUAAUUUUUGUCUGGAUGUCCUGUCAAUUGGUAAGAAUUGGAUAUUGAAGUCUCCCACUGACAUGUUACUUUUACAAAUGUGGGUGCCAUAGCAUUUGGGGCACAGAUGUGAAGAAUUAAAAUAUCAUCUUGGUAAAUUUUUCCCUUGGUGAGUAUGAUAUAUCCUUUUUGUCUCUUUUGAUUGGUUUUGGUUUGCAGUCUAUUUUGUUAGCUAUUAGAAUGGCUACACCGGCUUGUUUCUUAGGUCCAUUUUCUUGCGAAAUCUUUUCCAACCCUUUACUCUGAGGUACUGUCUACCAUUAAUGUUGAGGUGUAUUUCUUGUAUUCAGGAGAAGGAUGAAUCCUCUUUUUGCAUCUGUUAGUCUGUGCCUUUUUAUGGGGAACUGAGUUCACUGACAAUGAGAAAUAUUAUCUACCAAUGACUGCUAAUUCCUGUUAUUUUGUUAUUGGUAGUAUUGUUAUUGUUGUUGUUGGUGUUGGUGGUGGUGUAUGUGUGUGUGUGUUUCUCUUCUUUUGGUUUUGCUGGUGUGAGAUUAUUUACUUCCUGUGUUUUCAUGGCUGUGGUUAACUUCCUUGGGUUGGAGUUUUUCUUCUAGUACCUUCUGUAGGGCUGGAUAUGUAGAUAGAUAUUGUUUAAAUUUGAUUUUAUCAUGGAAUAUCUUGUUUUCUCCAUCUACAGUGAUUUAAAAUUUUGCUUGGUAUAGUGGUCUGGGAUGGCAUUUGUGGUAUCUUAGAAUCUGCAGGACAUCUGUUCAGAACCUUCUGGCUUUUAAAGCCUCCGUUGAGAAGUUGGACAUAAUUCUAAUAGGUCUGCCUUUAUGUUACUUGGUCUUUUUUCCUUGCAGCUUUUAAUAUUCUUUAUUUGUUCUAUAUGUUUAGUGCUUUGAUUAUUAUGUGGUCGGGGAAUUUUCUUUUCUGGUCCUAUCUAUUUGGUAUUCUAUAUUUUUGGUAUCUUUACAGGCAUAUCCUCCUUUAGAUUAGGAACAUUUUCUUCUGUGAUUUUGUUAAAAAUAUUCUCUGGGCCUUUGAACUGGGAUUCUUCUCCUUCUAUUCCUACUAUUCUUAGGUUUGGUCUUUUCAUAAUGUCCCAGAUUUCCUGCAUGUUUUGUGUCAGGAAUUUUUUAGGUUCAAUAUUUCCUUCAACUUAUGUAUCCAUUUCUUCUAUUGUAUCUCCAGUGCCUGAGAUUCCCUCUUCCAUCUCUUGUAUUCUGUUGAUGAAGCUUGCCUCUGUAAUUCCUCUUUGAAUUCCUAAAUUUUUCAUUUCCAGAAAUCUCUCAGUUUGUGAGUUGUUUUUUUUUUUUAUUGCUUCUGUUUCCAUUUUCAGUUCUUGAACAGUUUUACUCACUUCCUUCAGCUGUUUGUUUUUUCUUGGCUUUCUUUAAGGAAUUUAUUAAUUUCCUCUUUAAAGGCCUCUAUCAUCUUUGUGAAGUUGGUUUUAAGGUCUUUUUCUUGUGUUUCAGCUAUGUUGGAAAAUUCAGGGCUUGUUAUAGUAGGAUAACUAGGCUCUGAUGAUAAUAUAUUGCCUGGGCUGGUUUUGAUUUUGUUCUUACAGUGGCAUCUUAGCAUCUGGGUUUGGGUCUAGAUUACAGGUCUAGGUGCUGAUUUCUGAGUUUUCUUUGUUGAAUGAGUAUUUUGUCCCUUGGUUUCUGUUUCCUCUCUGGUUUUCUAGCUACUGUGGCCUGUGGUUGAGCAGAGGUCUCCACCCAAGUUGAGGACUGGACUUCUGGUGACUAUUGUGGCAGAAGAAGAGUUCUCUGUCCCCAUGAUGGGGGCUGUGAUGCAGUGAUGAAGAGGGAUGGGGGCACAGAGAGAGUUGGUGAAGUCCAAAGGUGGGUGGCCUACCUGGACUUCUGGUGGCCUUUCAAAUAAUGGAAGAAACAAAGACAUCUGUAUACUUCUUUAUCUCUACAUCCAGAAGAUUCUCUAUAAAGAUUCAGUGCCCUACACAAUAAAAGAAAUGGUGGUUUUAUGCAAUAAGAGGUAUUUAUAGAGAUUUGGAAAGUGGCUACUUCCUUGGGAAACAAUUUUUUUCUAAAAGGCAAGGAAGGGUCAAUGUAGUUCAUAUGAAUAAUUUAUGUAUGUGGAAUAUUUGAGACAAGUGGGCUUGUUCUGCUGCCUGCUCUCAGCAGAAACAUACACCAAGCAGCUAUAAUCAGACAAAUAAAAUGUCCUUCAAGGUAAGCCAUUGGCCACCAGGAUGGGAUCAUUCAUUCCAUACAGAUCUCUUGACAAAGCCUUGUCUUUGCUCAAGGUGGCAGGAAAUGGCUUUGUUUGGAUUUUACUGAGCUACCCAUGCUAAGGAAAAGAGAAUCCCUAGAGUCAUUUUAACAUGCACUCAACAAACAGUGUUUACAGAGCCCAAGCCCUCUCCUCAGCCUACUUGUAGUUCUUCCUGGGUUUACAUGAAGUCUCUGUAUGGAUCAUGCUGAAGGGAGGCAUGGUAUGUGAUAGAUACCAAGUCACAAAGCUCACUGGUAAAAAUGUGACCUUCACUGGGUUCCGUUUCCCUAAGUGAAUCCUACAGCAGAGGAAGUACUGGCUGCUGAGAAAGGAUUAGGGACUGAGCCUUCCUCUCCAUCUGUGUCAGAGGCAAUUUUGGAAAAGGUAGUCUGGUUCCCCUCCUUCCCAUCCCCCAGCCUUCUGAAACAGCAAAACCCAAUUGUAUUUUCUGAUUUGGCCUCUGGAGCAAGGUAAUGUAGCCUGUAAAGCAAGCAGUCAAAUUCUUUUCUUGGCAUUUUUAAUACCAAUUGCCCAGAUAAAACAGAAACCGCAGUGGGCUUCGUCACAGCAACUGGAUGUGAAGAUUAAUUAGCAGGUUUUCUCCCUUUUCACUGCUGAACUGACUGUGUGGGUGACACUCAGCCCCCUCUCUGUGCUCUGGCUGAUGGAUGGAGCAUUCAGCCCAUUAGCUGAAGGGCCUUUCAGCAGGAUGGCACGUCUGUCCUGCAUGACUAUUUAUAGGCUACUUUGUUCUGACAGACCCUUUCAUUCUAGCUACUCCAUCUGAAAUUGUUGGUUUUGAACUUUCCAUUAUCCAUAUGAGUUCUAUGAGCCAAGUAUUAUUUGCAGUUUCAGGCUGUGAAUAUUAUUAGGUCGAAGUGAUUUAAUGUGGCACAUUAGGGACAAAUGCACUACACAUAUCACUGUCAUGGAAACAAACUGGGCAUAGACUAGAGGCAUGAGGUAGAAUUGUUAUGGACCAAUGAUGCUCAAAAUGAAAUUUCAGAAAAUGUAUGUGACAUUCAUCUCAAAUAGAUAUGCUACCCACCAGA